RNAcentral lists this unclassified non-coding RNA (375 nucleotides) under soil metagenome. RNAcentral's name for it is "partial contains 5.8S ribosomal RNA, internal transcribed spacer 2, and large subunit ribosomal RNA". The stretch from base 1 to 120 matches the Rfam family "5.8S ribosomal RNA", at positions 35 to 154 of the family's 154-position model. The record is from RNAcentral.
GAUGAAGAACGCAGCGAAGUGCGAUAAGUAGUGUGAAUUGCAGAAUUCCGUGAAUCAUCGAAUCUUUGAACGCAAAUUGCACUUUCUGGUAUUCCGGAGAGUAUGCCUGUUUGAGGGUCAGUGUAAUAAAAAUAAAUCGUGGUUGUUACCACUUUUCGUGGUGACGCUUCGGAAUUGAGUCGUCUUACCUUCGGUUAAGUGACUUAAAAUUUUUUCAUACGAUUUCGAAACGUAUUUAAUGUAUUAUGUAUGUUCACGAAUAUCGAAUGUUUAUUAGGUGCGGUCAUUUUCAUGAAUCGUGUCUAUAAUUUUUUUUUUUGACCUCAAAUCAGGUAAGAAUACCCGCUGAACUUAAGCAUAUCAAUAAGCGGAGGA